This 465-nucleotide ribosomal RNA is filed under the name Vreelandella stevensii. Its description in RNAcentral is "partial 16S ribosomal RNA". It matches the Rfam family "Bacterial small subunit ribosomal RNA", at positions 338 to 795 of the family's 1533-position model. Lineage: Bacteria; Pseudomonadati; Pseudomonadota; Gammaproteobacteria; Oceanospirillales; Halomonadaceae. The record is from RNAcentral.
CCUACGGGUGGCAGCAGUGGGGAAUAUUGGACAAUGGGGGCAACCCUGAUCCAGCCAUGCCGCGUGUGUGAAGAAGGCCCUCGGGUUGUAAAGCACUUUCAGUGAGGAAGAACGCCUGGUGGUUAAUACCCAUCAGGAAAGACAUCACUCACAGAAGAAGCACCGGCUAACUCCGUGCCAGCAGCCGCGGUAAUACGGAGGGUGCGAGCGUUAAUCGGAAUUACUGGGCGUAAAGCGCGCGUAGGUGGCUUGAUAAGCCGGUUGUGAAAGCCCCGGGCUCAACCUGGGAACGGCAUCCGGAACUGUCAAGCUAGAGUGCAGGAGAGGAAGGUAGAAUUCCCGGUGUAGCGGUGAAAUGCGUAGAGAUCGGGAGGAAUACCAGUGGCGAAGGCGGCCUUCUGGACUGACACUGACGCUGAGGUGCGAAAGCGUGGGUAGCAAACAGGAUUAGAUACCCCGGUAGUC